RNAcentral lists this ribosomal RNA (274 nucleotides) under uncultured bacterium. RNAcentral's name for it is "partial 16S ribosomal RNA". It matches the Rfam family "Bacterial small subunit ribosomal RNA", at positions 523 to 796 of the family's 1533-position model. The record is from RNAcentral.
AUACGGAGGGGGCUAGCGUUGUUCGGAAUUACUGGGCGUAAAGGGCGCGUAGGCGGCCCAUAAAGUCAGACGUGAAAGCCCCGGGCUCAACCCAGGAACUGCGUUUGAUACUGGCGGACUAGAGUUCGGGAGAGGAGAGUGGAAUUCCCAGUGUAGAGGUGAAAUUCGUAGAUAUUGGGAAGAACACCAGUGGCGAAGGCGGCUCUCUGGAACGAUACUGACGCUGAGGUGCGAAAGCGUGGGGAGCAAACAGGAUUAGAAACCCCAGUAGUCC